Grammomys surdaster is the source of this 933-nucleotide RNA transcript. It is a transcript of the gene named RNA-binding protein 8A pseudogene, with no coding region annotated. The record is from RefSeq and is a predicted model, not a curated record. NCBI's taxonomy places the organism in Eukaryota, Metazoa, Chordata, Mammalia, Rodentia, Muridae. The transcript is spliced from 2 exons.
CUUCGUCUUGUCUCCAUUCUUCCCGCCCCUGUCCCCACUCUGUCUCUUGCUCCCUGACCCGUGGACCGGAGCUGCAGAACAACUGGAUACACACCACAGUCAAAAACAAAAUCAAGAGAGAAGCAAGAUGGCAGACGUGCUAGAUCUUCACGAGGCGGGGGGCGAGGAUUUCGCCAUGGAUGAGGAUGGAGACGAAAGCAUCCACAAAUUAAAAGAAAAAGCGAAGAAACGGAAGGGCCGCGGUUUUGGCUCCGAAGAGGGGUCCCGAGCGCGGAUGCGGGAGGAUUAUGACAGUGUGGAGCAGGAUGGCGAUGAACCUGGACCACAGCGCUCUGUUGAAGGUUGGAUUCUCUUUGUCACUGGAGUCCAUGAAGAAGCCACUGAAGAAGAUAUCCAUGACAAAUUCGCUGAAUAUGGAGAAAUAAAAAAUAUCCACCCUAAUUUGGACAGGCGCACAGGAUAUUUGAAGGGGUAUACUCUAGUUGAAUAUGAAACAUACAAAGAGGCUCAGGCUGCCAUGGAGGGACUAAACGGUCAAGACUUGAUGGGGCAACCAAUCAGUGUUGACUGGUGUUUUGUUCGUGGUCCACCAAAGGGCAAGAGGAGAGGAGGCCGAAGACGAAGCAGGAGUCCAGAUCGGAGACGUCGUUGAUAAAUCCUCUGUUGACCAUGUGGUCUCUCUAUGAGUCCAUUUGGUUAUGCUGUCUUGGAUAACCAGGGCUAGAGCGGACCUUGUGUUUAUAUUUAAUUUCUUACCCUGUCUACUUGGUAUUGCUUUGAGUUUAAGAAAAAAAAAUAAAUGUUCCAUUUUGUUUUCUACAAAAAAAAUAAAAUAAAAAAAAAUUAAAAAAAAAAUCAAGGUCGCCUCCGGGACUUCUCCAAGCCAAAGUCAGUUGCCUGUCGUCACUGCUGCCGCCUCCGCUGAAACCGCCG